Molecule: ribosomal RNA, 460 nt
Filed under: uncultured bacterium
Lineage: Bacteria
Description: partial 16S ribosomal RNA
Rfam family: Bacterial small subunit ribosomal RNA
Source: RNAcentral
CCUACGGGUGGCAGCAGUGAGGAAUAUUGGUCAAUGGGCGGGAGCCUGAACCAGCCAAGUCGCGUGAGGGAAGACGGUCCUAUGGAUUGUAAACCUCGUUAGGCGGGGAGCAAGGCCGGGCACGUGUGCCCGGAGGGAGAGUACCCGCAGAAGAAGCAGCGGCUAACUCCGUGCCAGCAGCCGCGGUAAUACGGAGGAUGCGAGCGUUAUCCGGAUUUAUGGGGUUUAAAGGGUGCGUAGGCGGAUUUUUAAGUCAGCGGUAAAAUGUCCGGGCUCAACCCGGGCCGGCCGUUGAAACUGGGGAUCUUGAGUGGGCGAGAAGUCUGCGGACUGCGUGGUGUAGCGGUGAAAUGCAUAGAUAUCACGCAGAACUCCGAUUGCGAAGGCAGCAUACCGGCGCCCGACUGACGCUGAGGCACGAAAGCGUGGGGAUCGAACAGGAUUAGAUACCCCGGUAGUC